This 332-nucleotide unclassified non-coding RNA is filed under the name soil metagenome. RNAcentral's name for it is "partial contains 5.8S ribosomal RNA, internal transcribed spacer 2, and large subunit ribosomal RNA". The stretch from base 1 to 120 matches the Rfam family "5.8S ribosomal RNA", at positions 35 to 154 of the family's 154-position model. The record is from RNAcentral.
GAUGAAGAACGUAGCGAAAUGCGAUAAGUAGUGUGAAUUGCAGAAUUCAGUGAAUCAUCGAAUCUUUGAACGCACAUUGCGCCCUUUGGUAUUUCUUAGGGCAUGCCUGUUCGAGCGUCAUUUAAACCUUCAAGCUAAGCUUGGUGUUGGGUGACUGUCCGCUUCACUGCGGACUCGCCUCAAAAUUAUUGGCGGCCGGUACAUUGGCUUCGAGCGCAGCAGAAACGCGAACUCGGGCCCGUCGUAUUGGCUCCCAGAAGCUAUCUUCACAAUUUUGACCUCGGAUCAGGUAGGGAUACCCGCUGAACUUAAGCAUAUCAAUAAGCGGAGGA